This 769-nucleotide ribosomal RNA is filed under the name uncultured Inocybe. RNAcentral's name for it is "eukaryotic LSU rRNA". The stretch from base 339 to 492 matches the Rfam family "5.8S ribosomal RNA". Lineage: Eukaryota; Fungi; Basidiomycota; Agaricomycetes; Agaricales; Cortinariaceae. The record is from RNAcentral.
UCUUGGUCAUUUAGAGGAAGUAAAAGUCGUAACAAGGUUUCCGUAGGUGAACCUGCGGAAGGAUCAUUAUUGAAUAAACAUUUGAUAGGCUGUUGCUGGCCCUUCUAGGGUAGUGUGCACGCUUGUCAUUUAUUUAUUUUUUUCCACCUGUGCACCUUUUUGUAGACCUUGGAGAAAGCAAAUUGUCUUGAGCAAUCGGGAUAGGUUUUGGGGACUGCUGUGCCUUUUGAAUGAAGUGCCAGCUUUUCCUUGUCUCUCUAGGUUCUAUGUUACUCAUAUACUCCUACGAAUGUAAUAGAAUGUUGAUCUGGGUCUUUGAUGCCCAUAAAGUUAUAUACAACUUUCAGCAAUGGAUCUCUUGGCUCUCGCAUCGAUGAAGAACGCAGCGAAAUGCGAUAAGUAAUGUGAAUUGCAGAAUUCAGUGAAUCAUCGAAUCUUUGAACGCAUCUUGCGCUCCUUGGUAUUCUGAGGAGCAUGCCUGUUUGAGUGUCAUUAAAUUCUCAACUACACUGACUUUGAUUAGUGUGGCUUGGAUCUGGGGGGGGGGAAUUUGUUGUGGGCUUUUUUGUAGUCUGCUCCCCUGAAAUUAAUUAGCGGUACCUUGGUGGAACUGUCUACAGGUGUGAUAAUUAUCUACAUUCUAGACAUCUGCUGGAAUGCUGCUUUCUAGACCUUAUUUGUAUUUGACAAUCUUGACCUCAAAUCAGGUAAGACUACCCGCUGAACUUAACAUAUCAAUAGGCGGAGGAAAUGAAACCAACCAAACUGG